RNAcentral lists this unclassified non-coding RNA (3036 nucleotides) under Rhagoletis pomonella (apple maggot). Its description in RNAcentral is "pyruvate dehydrogenase (acetyl-transferring) kinase, mitochondrial, transcript variant X1". The record is from RNAcentral. Lineage: Eukaryota; Metazoa; Arthropoda; Insecta; Diptera; Tephritidae.
CAAAAGCUCCAACGCUCCAAAUUCGACAACAAAAACUUCGCAAUUAUUGGACGUGUGAAAGAUAAAUUUGGGGAUACCAGCUUGUGAAACAAGUUUGUCGAUGUCGGUGUCCAAUAUAAAAAAUAAACAUCUAACAACAGCAGCGGCAGUGAUCACUUUGGAGCGCAAAAUAAGCAAAACAAAAGUAGAACGAGAAGCAAACAAACAAGCUAGAACUCUCGUGAAGAGCUUGGCGAAUUACAGAAGCACCAGACGCGGACAAAACAAUCUGGAGCGGCAGAAAAAAGCAAAGAGCAGGCAGAGAAAUCAGUCAGUCAGAACACAGCAGCGCAGUGCAACGGAACAAUUGGCAGCCCAUUGGAGCUAUAAAGGGCGUGAAUUAUAAAGAUCAAGUUAAGCAAAAAAAAAGAAAUAAUCAUAUAAACAUACAUAAAAUUGCAGUUUUGUGAAAAAGCGAUAAUACAUUGUUUAAAAUCUUCAUACAUUUUAAGUGAGAAAAGCUAAACACAAAUACAAAAGGUGAAUAAUCCUUGAGAAGGUGAGCGUACAUACAUACGCACGUACACACCUUGCUUUAUUGUAGGGGUGCUUUCAGAUGGAAAGGACAGUGGCCUAUCGAAGGUGACGCGGCAGAAAUACAACACCGUCAGCGCUUUGACGACGGCGACUACGACAACUUCGGCAGCAUUGCAGGCAUUUGAAGCAGCUGGACUUCACAUGCUUGAUUCUGUUAUACAUAUGUAUAUACAUUUGUAUGUAUGCCUUUUGUGUGUGACGUUAUUUAACAACAAAAUACAUUACUAUUAUCAACGUGAAUAAAAGUGGUUAAAAAUUAAAGUACUGAAUUUGGAAUAAAUGAGUUAAAGGAAGUGCCGUACAAUAUUCGUUGGGUUUAAAGCCUGUUAAAAGCAAGGAUUCACUCACUGAGACACUUCAUCAGAUCGGCUGUUUUUGUGCUAAGGAACACGUAGGCACGUUUAAAUCCCAGACAAAACUACUCAACUACCCACUUUCCGCAUCAGCAGACAGCGAGCAUCAGAGGUGAAAAGGACAUUAGCGACACUGUAUACCUAAGUAGGUACAUCAAAGGUUGUCGUAACAAGAACAUAGUCGUUGAGCGGAUGGAAUAAAUUAUGAUCAGUGUCAUCGUAUUUUUAAUAGUAUUAUAGAAUUCAAAGUCUUUAAUUUUGGAAUAUAUAUACCUAUUUCUUUAUAUUGACGUCAGCAGAGUGGCGAGGUGGUAAACUUGUGAAGAAAAACGAAAGGCAUAACAACAGUGGACAAUUUUAGUCAAAACAGAUAUAUAUAUAUAUAUAUAUAUAUAUAUGUACAUAUGGCCAGUAGCAAAUUCACAGAAUUGAUGCAUAAAUAAGAAAAAAAAACGACGGAAAUCAAUGUGGAAGAGAUAAGAAAAUACACAGAUCAUAAAAAAAAUAAUAAACAACUACGAUAUUUAGUAGUAAAUCUUAGAACAGCCGAAAACUCAUCGAAGAAAUUAACAUUAAAAACAUAAAUUAAAUUCACAGUGUCAUAAAAGAGUGUUCAUUUAAUUCUACAACAUCAUACGACUGAUAGCGAGCAACAAAUGAGCUUCUUAUGAACAAAAAAGUAUUUUCACUAGCACUUUAAUUUUAUAAAAAUCAUACAGUUGCUGUAAUAAAACACACAAACAAGCAAGAUGCGGUUAUUUCCGGUGCGUUUGUCGAACAUAACAAAAAUGCUCGAUUUGUACUCGCAAUUCAAUCCGUCGCCGUUGUCAAUAAAACAAUUUAUGGAUUUCGGCCAAAAUGCAUGCGAGAAAAAAUCCUACAUAUUCCUGCGUAAAGAACUGCCCGUACGUUUGGCGAAUAUCAUGAAGGAAAUCGCACUGCUGCCCGAUAAUUUGCUGAAUACACGUUCCGUUAGCCAGGUGAGCUCCUGGUAUGUGCAAAGUUUCGAGGAGGUACUCGAAUUCGAAAAGGCCGAUCCGACACAUAGCAAUUUAGAAAAGUUCUGCAGCACUUUGGUACACAUACGCAAUCGUCAUAGCGAUGUGGUGCAAACCAUGGCGCAGGGUGUCAUCGAAAUGAAAGAGCAUCAAGGCAGCAACGUCGAUUCUGGCAUGGAAUCAUCAAUACAAUACUUUCUCGAUCGUUUGUAUAUGUCACGCAUCAGUAUACGCAUGUUAAUCAAUCAGCAUACUAUACUAUUUGGCCAGUUUACAAAUGACCAGGGUCGUCAUAUCGGUUGUUUAGAUCCUGCCUGCCAGAUCUCUUCAGUAGUGAAGGAUGCCUAUGAAAAUGCACGUUUCCUCUGCGAUCAAUACUAUCUGAUUAGUCCGGAGCUGGAAAUAACGGAACAUAAUCAGCACGGAAAAGCACUUAAUCCCAUACGUACUGUUUAUGUGCCCUCGCAUUUAUACCAUAUGCUUUUCGAGUUAUUCAAGAAUUCGAUGCGUGCCGUUGUUGAGAAUAAUGAUCAAGAUAAAUGUGAAAGGCUCCCGCCUAUUAAGGUGCUGAUAGCGGAGGGCAAAGAGGAUAUAUGCGUAAAGAUCUCUGACCAAGGUGGCGGCAUUCCACGCUCCCAAACCGAUCAGCUGUUCAAGUAUAUGUACAGCACAGCACCACAACCUACAAAAUCUGAUCUCCAUACAGUUCCGUUGGCCGGCUACGGUUAUGGUUUGCCCAUUUCACGUUUAUAUGCGCGUUACUUCCACGGUGAUAUCGUGUUGUUAUCGUGUGAGGGUUACGGAACCGAUGCAAUUAUUUACAUGAAGGCAAUUUCGGAUGAAGCCAACGAACUGUUGCCGAUUUUCAACAAAACGAGCUCCAAAUUUUAUCGCGCCACAGUACCAACUGGCGAUUGGUCGAAUCAGAAUUUUUCCAACCGUUGGCGUUAUAUAUAUAGUUUCUUCAAAUCCAAAACUGAUUAGCGUAUGUUUUUAAUCCAGAGAAAUGCUUGAUUCAUUUAAAUUGGUUUUUAUUUUUGAGUUCUGAUAUGAAUGCACGCCAGAUGAUUGCAUCGUCCCCCAAGCGCUACAAUGACAUGUUAUAGACC